UGAUGUUGUUUCCAAAUGCCAGAUAUGGACCCACAUGGAGCUAUACAGACUUUGUGCACGAGGCAGGAUAAGCAUCGUUCAAGUUUGCUUUUGGAUGCUCAUUUGGAAGGCGAGGAAGUGCCAGGUGUAUUGACUUGUCGUCACCGAGACAAAGGUCUGCUUGAAGGAGGGGUAGAUGGGUUAGAUCCACGAAUUCUCGCUUAUAUCACUGAUGCGGGGUUAGAUGGGCUGCUUCGGGUCCCACAUAUGGACACUGACCACGCAUUGAUCACAGCGUUGGUGGAGAGAUGGCGGCCGGAGACGCACUCAUUUCACUUGCCCCACGGUGAGAUGACCAUCACACUACAAGAUAUGGAGGUUAUAAUGGGGGUACCUGUAGAUGGCUUGCCGUUGGUGGAAUCUAUACCCUCGACGGGCAGUUGGCGUGACGUCUGCAGUAGAUUGCUAGGGCGUACACCGCCACAUAGAGAACUUAGAAACAACAGAAAGAACACUGGAGUGCUGGAAGGGGCGAGCAUAAAAGCCAAAUGGCUUGAGGAUCAGUUUUGCAACCCUCUCCCGGUUGACGCCCCCGAGGCGCUUGUGCAAAAGUAUGCUCGUUUUUACAUAUUGGAGUUGUUAGGUAGUACGCUAUUUAUGGAUAAGUCUGGAGAACGGAUCUCAGUUAGGUAUUUGCAAUAUUUCGAUCCAAUCAGCAACGGAAAGAAGUAUAGUUGGGGUAGUGCAGCACUAAGUUGGCUCUAUAGACACCUCUGUAAGGCAUCAGAGAAGACAGCCAAGCAGAUUGGGGGUGCACUACUAUUGGUGCAGUUGUGGGCGUGGGCGAGGUUUCCCCACAUAUGUCCUGUGAUGAGGCAUCCACACCAGGCACUGCCUCCAAGUCCACUUGCUGUCAGAUGGAAAGGGGCUAAGAUAACAACUGAACAUUCGAUGCACGUCCUACGUGCCUAUCGUGUGUCGCUUACUUCACUGCAGCCAAAUCAGAUUGUUUGGGAGCCGUACAGAAAUUAUUUGCGUUCUCUACCCGCAUAUUGUACGGCAGGCCAACGUAUAUGGAGGUCUAUUGUGCCGCUGAUACAUUUUUGGGUGGUUGAAGGCCAUCAUCCCGAACGUGUUCUCCGACAGUUUGGGAUGAAGCAAGGCAUACCAGAUGAUGUUGAUACUUCAAUUGAACUGCACAAGAUCACCCUCCAGGGCAAGCACGAAAAAGAUUGGGCCCGAAUACAUGCCCCGCAUAUUGCUAAAUGGGCUGCGCACGCCAGAAUUGCCGAUGCACCGGCCUUUCACGGGGAGAUGAACUACAAUGACAAGUAUUUGGUUUGGUUUCGUCCCCGCACUAUUCGCCAUAUUACAAAAGAGACUUCGUACUGGGACACUUUGGUUGAAUCACAGUUGCGCAUUAUAACGAAGUGCGAACCAGGGUCUGAGAUCUACACCGACUGUAUUAAUGCCUUGCAAGCUGUUGAAGAGAUCGGUCGGUUAUCCUUGGACCAUGCACGUGACGUGGGCAACACAAGUGAACCAGCUGUACGACGUGGUUGGCAAGCAAGUGGACGUCAAGGGCGUGGAGGAUGUCAAUCUAGCCAGCGUCAUACAUCUAGUCGGCCUCCCACAUCUGGUCAGCGUCACACACCCGUGCCCACAUCUAGUCGACGUCCCACAUCUGCUCAGCGUCCUACAUCUGGUUCGCGUCACACACCCGUGCCCACAUCUAGUCGACGUCCCACAUCUGCUCAGCGUCCUACAUCUGGUUCGCGUCACACACCCGUGCCCACAUCUAGUCGGCGUCACACACCCGUGCCCACAUCUACUCGGCGCCACACACCCGUGCAUGACCACACCAUGGAGGAAACAAGUCAGACAACAGAUGAGAUGUGGGACGACACUGCUUAUGACGUAGGCUCCAUGGCACACGAUGAUGCGGGUCCAUCCCAUACGUUUGCCCAUAGAGACACAUUUGGGUCCCCAUCCAUGAGGAGCGAUGGUACUUGCCCACCCACACCCCCUAGUACAUCUCUGUUGCCCACCACCUGUACGUCUCCCCCACUGACUGCCGGCCCUGCCCCCGCAGUUUUAGAUGGUAGAGAUGAGAUGAGGUUCAUGCCCACUCCUGGGCGACCCACCCCUGUUGCUAUCCCCCCUGAGUUUGUGCAUACCGAGUUUAUCCAGACACAGAUACCCACCCCCCCAGCAGAGCCUUCGCACAUCGAGGAUCGGCCACGAAGGCCGCAACGCACACGGACACAUCCUCCUGACUGUGGGACUGGACAUGGCAAGGUGAGACCAGUCAAGGAACCGGUGAGGAGAAGAAAACGAGAAUGAUUCAAGGGCAGAAUUUGUGCUACUUUGGGUUUGUAAUGGUACCAAAAGGCUGGGACAAGUUGGUUGUAUCUAUUAUCUCUAUUGAAACUGGGAAAACAAUUGCGAAGUCAAGCAAAGCACUUGUACAUAAUGGAAGUUGUCAGUGGACGGAUUCUAUUUCAGAAACUAUAUGUUUUUUUCAGGAUGACUCUUCAAAGGAGCUACAGGAUUGUUUCUUCAAGCUUGUUGUCUCCAUGGGUUCAGCUAGAUCUGGCAUCCUUGGAGAGGCUACAGUCAAUAUGACAGGCUAUAUGAGUUCACCUGCUCCUGUUCCAGUUUCACUAAGAUUGAAAAAGUGCAAUCAUGGGACAAUUUUACAAAUAUUACAGGACUAAAUUUGCAGAGAAGAACUUUUACCUUCAAAAAAAAUAAAAGCAGCCACUAAUGAUUGCUAUUCUGCCAACAAAAUUUGAGAAGGUGAUUUUGGUCCUGUGUACAAGGUAUUACUCGUUUAGCAAAUGUUUAGCCAAAAAAAAAAAAAGGUAUUACUCUUACAUGGCUGAUCCCAUUGAGUAUUGAUUUUCCUGCUUAUCCGAUAAGGUUCGGUGCAGGUUGAACUACCUGAUGGUACUGUCAUAGCAGUUAAGCAACUCUCAUCUAAAUCAAAGCAAGGAAAUUGUGAAUAUUUAAAUGAAAUAGGCAUGAUUUCUUGUUUGCAACACCCAAAUCUGGUGAAGCUUUAU
Molecule: RNA transcript, 3044 nt
Organism: Quercus robur (English oak)
Lineage: Eukaryota; Viridiplantae; Streptophyta; Magnoliopsida; Fagales; Fagaceae
Gene name: protein MAINTENANCE OF MERISTEMS-like
Exons: 9
Source: RefSeq, a predicted model, not a curated record